Molecule: ribosomal RNA, 29 nt
Filed under: Ceylonthelphusa sentosa
Lineage: Eukaryota; Metazoa; Arthropoda; Malacostraca; Decapoda; Parathelphusidae
Description: partial 12S ribosomal RNA
Source: RNAcentral
GUACUGGAAGGUGUAUCUANAAUUAUAUU